Molecule: long non-coding RNA, 1477 nt
Filed under: Olea europaea subsp. europaea
Lineage: Eukaryota; Viridiplantae; Streptophyta; Magnoliopsida; Lamiales; Oleaceae
Source: RNAcentral
CUCGAGCACUUUAGACUUCAAUUACACUGAAUAGAAUAUAGUACAAAAUAUUCUUAAAAAAGAAUACAACACCAAAUGAAAAUAAAAGUCUAUUCCCAAAAGAAAUGCAUAAAUUCCUCACUGUCUAGAGUAUGAAUUAGUAAUGAAGUACCAACAAGCCAUGAAAUUUAUUUAAAAAAAAAAAAAAAAAAAAAACCCAACUCAUCAAAAAAGAGAAGAAAAAGGAAAAAUAUUUAAAAGCAUCUUCAACAUUUGAAAAUCGGGGGGCACAUAUGAUAAUUAGCAUCCAGUUGGAUUCAAAGAUUAGUCUUUAAAAAUUACAAGCUAAAUGAUAAUUAAUUAAAAUCGAUCCACAUACUGAGUACAAGGCAUUCUUAAAUUAUCCAAUCAAUCGGGCCCCAUCCACCAACCUAAAGUGCCUUCUUCUCACUUUUUUACAAUUUAGAAUAGUUUUGGACUAUUUGUAAGAAAUCAUCUUAUUAUUUUUCUCUGAAUUCAAUAGCAAUUAGCAGGUGAGAGUCGAGAAUUCUAAUUUUUUCAACAUAAGCAGAAACCCAAAUUUAUGUAUCUGUCAAGCAUGGGCUAAUUCAUAGAUCUUUGGGCUUUGAUUAUCAAGGAAUAGAGACUUUACAAAUAAAGCCCAAGGAUUGACAUUCCAUUGUUGUCAUUUUAUAUGUAUAUGGUUACAAUUAUCUACGCUCCCAAUGUGCCUAUGAUGUAGCACCUGGCGGACUGUUAGCUAGUGUGUAUCAUCUUACGAGAAUAGAUUUUGGUGUGGAUCAACUAGAAGAGGUAUGCAUAAAAGUAUUUGCCUCAAGGAGGAAUCAAGGAAAAGUGAGUAGUUUUUGGGGAAAAUUUUAAUAUUUUUGAAUGGACUGAUGACAAAAAUUAAAAUACGAAACAACGAACACAGGAAGUCAGGAAUGUCUAUGGAAAAGUAACAAACCUUCUCUUUUUUUCUUCUUCUUCUUUGACCACCCUUUUCUCCCUUCUUGGAAUCCUCCUAUAUCAGCAGCAGUCUUUUCCUUCUAGGAAUCUUCCGGUGGCAACAAUGGUCAGACAAAAUUGGAGAGAGAGGCUCAAUAAAUCAAUGCUUUUCUUCCUCUAUUCCUAUCUAAAAUAGUUGGGUUUCUUUUUUAGCCUUGGUUAGGGUUGCGAAUGGAUGUGGGUUGGAUUUUUCUCAUGAGGCCCCCCCAAAAUUUGAGGCCCUAGGCCUUGGCCUUAGGCCAGGGCUGGCCUUGACUUUCAGUAGCGUUUCCCAUAGAUAAUGCAAACGAUGCUAUCAAAAAUCGUAGUUAGGAUAACUCAAUCUUGAGCUAGAAAAUACUGGAGAUGAGAAGGAACAGGAUCUUCAAACUACCUGUAAAAAGCUAAGAAAGUUGUUCCCAUAGCCCUUUUGAUUCUUAAGUUAGAAAGUAGUGGGAGAAAAAUAUAAACGUGAGCAAUAAUGUAAAGCAUAUAUGAAUGAUGAAUUAGG